This 231-nucleotide unclassified non-coding RNA is filed under the name Hevea brasiliensis (rubber tree). The record is from RNAcentral. Lineage: Eukaryota; Viridiplantae; Streptophyta; Magnoliopsida; Malpighiales; Euphorbiaceae.
ACACACACACACACGCACGCACAGAGCAAGUUUAAAGAGAGCACCCUUAAGAAUUAAAAAAAAAAAAGGUUUUUCAUAAAUGAAGUAAACUAUCUAAUAAAUAUCAUUUAUAGGAUCUUCAGUAGCAGCAAUCCAAAAACUGAACAUAAGAUAGGCUACCAAACAUUGUAUAUUCUUAGACUCCUAGUAGCGAGAUGGAGCAGAUAUAAAAAAAACAAAAACAAAAAUAAA